UACGAAGGGGGCUAGCGUUGCUCGGAUUUACUGGGCGUAAAGGGCGCGUAGGCGGACAUUUAAGUCAGGGGUGAAAUCCCGGGGCUCAACCUCGGAACUGCCUUUGAUACUGGGUGUCUUGAGUAUGAGAGAGGUAUGUGGAACUCCGAGUGUAGAGGUGAAAUUCGUAGAUAUUCGGAAGAACACCAGUGGCGAAGGCGACAUACUGGCUCAUUACUGACGCUGAGGCGCGAAAGCGUGGGGAGCAAACAGG
This 253-nucleotide ribosomal RNA is filed under the name uncultured bacterium. RNAcentral describes it as "partial 16S ribosomal RNA". It matches the Rfam family "Bacterial small subunit ribosomal RNA", at positions 524 to 776 of the family's 1533-position model. The record is from RNAcentral. RNAcentral also lists the same sequence under 1 other name.